AGGUUCUAUGAAAGAAGAGACGGUUAGCACACCACUUGACGAGGAUGGAAGAGGUCUUAGUGGCCAGCAACACGUAUACGGUUAAGGCACUGCCACCCACAGUACUUCGUGGCAUCUCUAACCAGGUUUUUUU
Molecule: small nuclear RNA, 133 nt
Organism: Clarias gariepinus (North African catfish)
Lineage: Eukaryota; Metazoa; Chordata; Actinopteri; Siluriformes; Clariidae
Source: RefSeq, a predicted model, not a curated record